RNAcentral lists this long non-coding RNA (1279 nucleotides) under Vulpes vulpes (red fox). RNAcentral describes it as "lncRNA (ENSVVUG00000007649.1)". The record is from RNAcentral. Lineage: Eukaryota; Metazoa; Chordata; Mammalia; Carnivora; Canidae.
CCAAUCUUCAAUUUUGCAAUGCAGAGUUGUGUUCAAGGUCAUGAGACUCAUUCCCCCUUGAAAUGUGAAAAUACACCUCUGGGAGUCUAUUUCGAGGUAUAACUAUUUGUUUUUUCCAGGAGAUAAGAGAAGCUUUAUUACUCUUACAGAGGAGGUCAAUUAACUAAACAAAUAGCUACCUCAAAUCCCAAGUGAAUUUUGGAUCUGCUUUGUAGUUUAAAUUGUGUGAAAUUUUAUUCUGACUUUGUAGUCUCUGGUGGACUACAUAUAUGCAUCUACUCUAAAUACAUCAGUUUUCUUUAUUUCCAUAUUAAUAUGGAAAGAUUUCUCUUUGUUGGUAGGAUUUUUACUACCUCACUAUUUUACAGGUAUGAGCUCAUCUUCAGAGAACUCUCAGAAGAUCCUAUGAAAUAGGAGCUAUUAUGGCACCCCAUUUUUUAUAGGAGUGAAAACUAAGUUUCAGCUAAGUAAGUAACUUUCUCUAGGUUACAAAGGUAGUAAGUUGCAUGGCUGAGACUCCUAUUUAUAUUUGACUUCAGAAUCUGCGCUCUUCCUCUCGGUAUGACACUGAAUCUAUAUCAGUGAAUUGAGAUUGUUAUCGAUGCCCUUCACACUUCAAAGAUGACAAUAGGAUCAGGGAGAUUAACAACAUCGGGCAAGCUUCCAGGGGCUCAAACUCAGGUCUUGAAUUCCAGCAUGGGACAUGCAAGAACAUUCAAAAGAAAAGUUUGACUUUGAAGCUCAACAAACAAGGCUGGAAACAAAACAGUAAUUCGAAAACUGUUCUAACUAAACUAUGCUCAACUGUUCUAAAAUAGAGAUGGGAUUCUUUAAAGAAAUGGGUUUAUGGCCUUGUCUACUUCUCUUUAACCCUCUGCUAGAGGACAGCGAACUGUGUUUUCCAACUUGCAGUUUGAUGUCAUUUGAGAAGCUCUUGGAGCAAUGCUUGGACUCAGACAUUAGGUCAUCAUUGGUCUGACUGUGACACACCUACUUCAUGCUUUGGUCAUUGGUCUGUCUUUUGAGGAGGAUUCUAUUGAGGAAGAUUAUCAUCUAUGUGUGCAAUUGUGGCUACAAAGUCAGAAAAUGUCUUUCUCUCUUUGCUGUCAUGCUAGAACAUGAGCCCUCAGAAAACAAAAAUAUCUGCACUUCAAUGCUGAGUCCCCACAGUAAACUGCUCAAAUCUACCAGCAGCAUUCCAGUACUUACAGGAAAGGAACUCUACAGGAUGGUGGCAUAGCCAUGGAAAUAGGAACCAAGUAUAUCUGAAAUGUAUCCU